Molecule: non-coding RNA, 561 nt
Organism: Manis javanica (Malayan pangolin)
Lineage: Eukaryota; Metazoa; Chordata; Mammalia; Pholidota; Manidae
Source: RefSeq, a predicted model, not a curated record
GGCCUGGCUCCGCCGCCGCCGCUGGUAGCAAAUGCGGAUCUGAAACCGGGAGAGAGCAGAGGCGCUCAGAGACCGCCGACGCCUCGUGCUCACCGCCCAGGCCCCCGCGGAUAUAAAAAGAAGAAGCCACCGGAGGGGCCGCGAACUCACGCCUUCUUGGAGCCGCGCCAGGUCCAGAAAUAGCCCGGGCUCGGAGUCCCAAUUAGAGGAGCGCAGCCCCGGCUCAGGGGAGCUUAAAAAGAGCGACCCAGGGGCAGGGGGGACGGGCCCGCCCGCGCCAGCCGUGUCACUGAGAGGGCGGAGCCAUGCAAAUGAGCCCGGGGAUUUAAAAGGGCGGCCGUCCGCCAGCCGCCGCCGCCGGUCGGGUGGGUAUUGCCUGCUGGCAGGGUCUUCUAGUUGCCGGGAUCCUGGGGGCCUGGCUUGGGAACCCGAAGCGACGUCCCACUCCCCACUGUCCCGGGCCGGGAGACAUAGGAAAGGUGCAGAGGGAUCACCAAGGAGCUUUUCGCAUCUGGGAGGGCGUUCUUACUGCCGGGAAUGGGGUUCUCCCGGAGUCACCUC